CCUACGGGUGGCUGCAGUGAGGAAUAUUGGUCAAUGGGCGGGAGCCUGAACCAGCCAAGUCGCGUGAGGGAAGAAGGUACUGAGUAUUGUAAACCUCUUUUGCCAGGGGACAAAGGCGGCCACGGGUGGCCGUAAGAGGGUACCUGGAGAACAAGCAUCGGCAAACGCCGUGCCAGCAGCCGCGGUAAUACGGGGGAUGCGAGCGUUAUCCGGAUUUAUUGGGGUAAAGGGGUGCGUGGGCGGGCUUUUAAGUCAGCGGUAAAAGUUCGGGGCUCAACCCCGACCGGCCGUUGAAACUGGGGGCCUUGAGUGGGCGAGAGGAAGGCGGAAUGCGUGGUGUAGCGGUGAAAUGCAUAGAUAUCACGCAGAACCCCGAUUGCGAAGGCAGCCUUCCGGAGCGCUACUGACGCUGAGGCACGAAAGUGCGGGGAUCGAACAGGAUUAGAUACCCGGGUAGUC
This 459-nucleotide ribosomal RNA is filed under the name uncultured bacterium. Its description in RNAcentral is "partial 16S ribosomal RNA". It matches the Rfam family "Bacterial small subunit ribosomal RNA", at positions 338 to 795 of the family's 1533-position model. The record is from RNAcentral.